GCCAACAUCGCUUUGGACCAGACAUUACACCUGUCGACUAACGUGGACAAGAAUGAUUGAGACUGGUCAGUGAUGAGAACGUCACGAGAACCCGACACUAUCGAGCCAGGCGUGACGAUCGAUAGGUUUCGAGCAACAACUUCAAAAUUUCUUCUGUUUUGUCGAAAUAGUGGCAAUUAUUUUCCUCUACUAC
Molecule: long non-coding RNA, 193 nt
Organism: Eufriesea mexicana
Lineage: Eukaryota; Metazoa; Arthropoda; Insecta; Hymenoptera; Apidae
Exons: 3
Source: RefSeq, a predicted model, not a curated record